CUACGUGUUGCACGAAAACAUCUACGCUUUGGUUGGGCUUUGGUUGGGCUUUCUCCCUAAAAUAUUGCAAUCGCAAAGUUUGGUGGAAGAGGGCGAACUGCUUAAAAUAAUGGUGCAGGGUUAGGUGAAUCAUGAUUGGAGCAAUAGUUUCACGAUGGGUUUAAACUUGCCGUUUGCGAAUUUUCAAAAUUUAUUUUUGUCUGACAAAAAGUGUUUUUUAAUCAAUAGAUAAGUUAGUGAAAGUUAUUAAAUAUCUUAAUCCAUAUAUAUUUACAGGACGUGCACAGUCAAGCAUAUUGUUCGCUACAAUACAACAGCAGUAGUUUAGCUAUCGAAAGAAAUAUAUUUGAUGCAAACCGUAGAACAUAUCUGACAUAAAAUUUUUCAAAAAUAUCAGAAAAUGAAGAAAGCCUGUUCCCAAAAUGCCGGUAGCCACUUCCCGAAUCUCUAUCUUACGUGAAACAUCUUGACUGCGUGUCGAUAUGGAAGGGUCAUGUCGUGAAAACAGCGGCUUAAACUGGUGAUGCACUUUAGGUGUAUGAUAAACACUGAUAUAAUUGUUCUCGCCGUAUGGUUGAGUUCUUUUUUGAAUUUCGUUUGCCCUGUGCUCGGCAUUGAAUUUCAACGAAAUGCCAUGUUCGAAUGAGUGAGCGAAAGGCAAGAUUACAGUUGAUACGGCCAAUAGGAUCAGAAUAGCUGCAUCGAGUACCUGAAAUAUAGCAAAAUCAAGCUGAGGAAGAUGUCUCAUUUUGGUUAUGAUAUUGAUGUCCUCCACCUCUACUCCUACAAAUUUCAACAAGUUGCGAAGAAGCUACAAUAGAGCCAAACUUGAAACCUUACUGAUAUGAAAGUGAGCUCAUCAAUGCUGAUUUAUAUAAGCUUGGUGAAACUGAAAAAAUUAAAUAAAUAAAAUAAAAUAAAGCAGACUGCUGCAGUAAAAGCAACCAGUAAAAGACAAACAACUGCUAAGUUCAUGGGCUCAAUCUAGCCAAGUCUGCAGCAUGUUUCGGCUAUCCCCCGCCACGGUGCGCACUAGUCGACUAGCCGCACGACUUUUGGCUAAGCGGAUACGAAGCAAGUCGAAAGUGGUCUAUAAGCUUAAAUAUCGGUAUAAAGAUCCUAAUAACAAACUCAAGUAUGGUCGUUUUUGUUGCCGUUGAAAUUUUUCUAUCCCUCAUAAUAUUUAGGCGCAAAGGGUGAAACAGGUGGUGACGUGAUUCCCGACUUCAAUAGCAUCGCGGGUUGAGGGCUGUCCAAGAGUAGCCGAUGGAACAGGACUAAAAAAAAAUAGGACUGAAAGUUGCCUGUCCUAUUUCUUCAGUCUGAUUUCCACCGCCAAUCUGACCAAGACUUUAGAAAGCUAAUUAACCGCGUUGCAUGUAUCGUUUUUACUGUAUAGUCCUGAAAUAAUUUUUUAAAUUAUUAAGUACUUGUGUUUGGUUAUCCCCGAAUUCAAUUUGUCGUUCAAUAUGGUCUGGAAUUCUAGAAAUCAUUUAUUUCUAAAUCUUGCAUUAAAGUAUUUAAUUUUUGCAGUUCAGCUUGUCAUGAGGCUUAUCACCUUGUGGUAGUGUGUCUUGAAGCUUCUAUCAACGACCUGUUCCCAAAUGUAGAAUCUUUCUAAUUGUACUGGGUCCAUUCCACCACCCGCUGAAAUGAAUAAAUCAAUAACACAACAUUAAAUGGGUUUGAGAAUUCUAGACUUAAUGGUUGAGAUCGUACUUUAGCAUAAGUUUCCAAUACAGUAGUGGCAUCAGUUCUUUUUUCAUAAAGAAGGACGUCAUUCUCUCUUUGGCUUGGUUGAUUGGAAGCGUCUCCAACGGUUUUCCGUCAUAAUCGAACUCCGCCAAAAUGCAUUUUGAAUAUCCCGUCACCAGUGGACAGGAAGUGUACCCAUCGUACUUUUGGGACAGUUUUUUCCCAUCCAUCAAGAACCUCAAAUUAUCAAACACUAUUUUGUUCUGUCCGGCUAACGAGGAAAAAAGUAGAAUAAGGCCUUCCUUCAGGAAUUUGCAACGGCUACUUACCAAUAGCAGCUGCUGUUUUGGAGGUGGGCAGACUCGUACAGUCACCGAUUCCGAAGAUAUUCGGAAAACGCACAUGUUGCAGAGUACUUUUAUCAAUUUCCAAAUACCCGGCUUCGUUAGUUAGUUCUUUAUUCGCCCUCAGCAAUGCCGGAGAACUCAUUGGUGGAGUGACGUGAAGCAUUUCGUACUGUGUUACAAGCAGUAUUUAUGUAUGAAAACUAUUGUUUACGGGAGAAGAAGAAAACCUUACCUUAAAGGUUUUCGUUUUUCCUGCUGGAUCAUCGAGCAACCGAAAGACUGCUUCUUUUGUAUCCGGUUUCACUUCUACGAGUUCGUGUCGGAAAUUCACGGCGAUAUUCCUCUUUUUUACAACUUUUUCCAGCGCAUCAGCAUAUUUUUUUACUCCGAAAAUAGCGCCCAAUGACGUGUUAAACAUCACGUUGGCUUUAUCUCUUUUGUUGUGCUAUACAUGGUGGUUUAAUCAGUUAGCAAAUGGACUUGGUGGAAUGCUUUUACACAUACGUACCUUACGAAGGUAUUCUUCGGAGAUGUACAUGGCUUUCUGAGGUGCACCAGCGCAUUUGACUGGAGUGUUCGGAAAUGUGAAAAUGGCAUUGCCCUCCUUAAAAUUUUUCAGGGAUUCCAGGGUAUUUCCAACGUAGAGAGUCGAAUAAUUCGAACAAACACCCGGAGUAUUGAAAGCCUCUGGCAAUCCUUUAAUCUGUUUAGAUGGACACAUAAAGAUAACCUAAUGCGCAGUCCAAGAAAUUUGCAUAAGUUUUUGACAUCACACCUUAUUGUAGUCUAGUUGCAAUCCCAUUGCUAUCACAAGGUAAUCGUAAUUGAUUUCUUCGCCAGAAGCUGUGACUAGACGAUUUUCUUUCGGGAAAAAUUCGCUAGCGCGUUCUUUAAUCCAACGAGCAUUUUUGGGCAGGACUUCGCUCAUGGGUCGUCCAGAUUGUUCAAGUUUUUUCAUCCCACCGCCAACCAUGGUCCACAUUGGUUGGUAAUAAUGGGUCUAGUGAAUGAAAAAUCACGAGAUUUUAACUUGAUGACUAGAUUGUUCAAUUAGGAAGACUAACAUCAUUCGGCUCAAUGAUUGCGACAUGGUUUUUCGGAAGAAGUGAGCUGAAUUUGGCCGCUACUGAACAUCCACCGGCGCCUCCACCCACGACGACAAGUUUGUAGCUGUUAAUAAAAUUAUUUUAAAAAAUUAUUUUAUUAGAUAAACAUGGGAAACAAUUGAUAUUCAAUAAAGCUGAAGUGAAAAAACCAUAAUUUUCUGCACCCCAAACUACCCCAAUAAAAAUAAGAAAAUGAUCUAACAGUUAACAAAGACGAUUGCUACCUUGUACGCGGAGAAAUUCACGCUGCGUAAUGCCUUUGAAGGUUGAAACUUCCCAACAUCUCAAGGGCAUGACACAUCACUUUUUAUCAGCUGUUUUUCAUUAACUAAUUCCUUAUGAGAACGGCUGUUAAGACAAUGUAUUUUGAGAUACGUUAUCCGAUGCUACCGUAUUAUCUUUUUUAUAUGAAAUUCUGAAAACUAUUAUUCUUCCCCUUGUUUGGCAUAAACUGAAUUGUGUCGGACAUACAGUACCUUUGACUUAAUCGCUGUUUUGACGUUGAAAAAAACCGUGAGUUCCAGCCGCUACUUCCAAUUACCGAUUUGCACUUUAAAAUCGCAGCCAUUAUUGCUUAAUCACGGAAUUUGCCUUGAAUUUGGUGUUCUUUACACAAAUAAAAGGAUAAUUGUUAAUGA
Daphnia magna is the source of this 3786-nucleotide long non-coding RNA. RefSeq lists it as uncharacterized. The record is from RefSeq and is a predicted model, not a curated record. The transcript has 4 exons. Lineage: Eukaryota; Metazoa; Arthropoda; Branchiopoda; Diplostraca; Daphniidae.